AACCUGGCGGCGAGUGGCGAACGGGUGAGUAAUAUAUCGGAACGUACCCAGAAGUGGGGGAUAACGUAGCGAAAGUUACGCUAAUACCGCAUACGAUCUACGGAUGAAAGUGGGGGACCUUCGGGCCUCAUGCUUUUGGAGCGGCCGAUAUCUGAUUAGCUAGUUGGUGGGGUAAAGGCUCACCAAGGCGACGAUCAGUAGCUGGUCUGAGAGGACGACCAGCCACACUGGAACUGAGACACGGUCCAGACUCCUACGGGAGGCAGCAGUGGGGAAUUUUGGACAAUGGGCGCAAGCCUGAUCCAGCAAUGCCGCGUGAGUGAAGAAGGCCUUCGGGUUGUAAAGCUCUUUUGUCAGGGAAGAAACGGUAGAGGCUAAUAUCCUUUGCUAAUGACGGUACCUGAAGAAUAAGCACCGGCUAACUACGUGCCAGCAGCCGCGGUAAUACGUAGGGUGCAAGCGUUAAUCGGAAUUACUGGGCGUAAAGCGUGCGCAGGCGGUUUUGUAAGUCUGACGUGAAAGCCCCGGGCUCAACCUGGGAAUUGCGUUGGAGACUGCAAGGCUUGAAUCUGGCAGAGGGGGGUAGAAUUCCACGUGU
RNAcentral lists this ribosomal RNA (598 nucleotides) under Massilia sp. RNAcentral describes it as "bacterial SSU rRNA". It matches the Rfam family "Bacterial small subunit ribosomal RNA", at positions 82 to 676 of the family's 1533-position model. The record is from RNAcentral. Lineage: Bacteria; Pseudomonadati; Pseudomonadota; Betaproteobacteria; Burkholderiales; Oxalobacteraceae.